UGGGGAAUUUUGGACAAUGGGCGCAAGCCUGAUCCAGCAAUGCCGCGUGCAGGAAGAAGGCCUUCGGGUUGUAAACUGCUUUUGUCAGGGAAGAAAUCUUCUGGGCUAAUACCCCGGGAGGAUGACGGUACCUGAAGAAUAAGCACCGGCUAACUACGU
This 159-nucleotide ribosomal RNA is filed under the name uncultured Aquabacterium sp. Its description in RNAcentral is "partial 16S ribosomal RNA". It matches the Rfam family "Bacterial small subunit ribosomal RNA", at positions 355 to 506 of the family's 1533-position model. Lineage: Bacteria; Pseudomonadati; Pseudomonadota; Betaproteobacteria; Burkholderiales; Sphaerotilaceae. The record is from RNAcentral.